This 2219-nucleotide unclassified non-coding RNA is filed under the name Anneissia japonica. RNAcentral describes it as "uncharacterized LOC117102384, transcript variant X3". Lineage: Eukaryota; Metazoa; Echinodermata; Crinoidea; Comatulida; Comatulidae. The record is from RNAcentral.
GCUUAUCGGAUUUCACUAAAGUGUUUGAUAUUGAGUAUCGCAUUGCUGUUAACAGACUUCUUAGCAUGAUGUUGCUUUGCUGCCAAUGGGUUGUCGAUUUUCAUUCUGAUAGAAGGAUCAAAUACAUAAACGUUUUUCUGAGUGGGAAACUCUUACAGGUGAAUUUCCUCAUCAUUUCCCCUAUAAUGUUUGUAUCUUUAACAGUACGAUGAACGAAGAAUUUAUGUUGGAAUAUAGUAGGCCUAUCCAGGUCUGAAAAAGUAUGUGGAUGAUUUGACACUUGGAUAAAGUCGAGUUUUGGUGACCCAAGUCGAUAUCAAGGUGGAUUAGAUGCACUCUACAAAUGUUCUAAGAUCAUUGACCUGGCUUAACCCCUCUAUGUGCCAUCAUGUAGACGUAUUUUGGACGGAAAACACUGGAUAUCCACAUUGAUAAUACUCCUUUAUCGAUUGUGAACGAAGUUAAACUUAUUGCUGUUGAUUCAGUGCAAUUUAAAAUGGGAUGCUCAAAAGUUAAACGUAUGGUUAAAAAGACCAGCAAUAAGUUGUUUAUAAACAAACUGGACUUGACAUUUCUGAUCUUCUUGUUGAGUACAAAUGGUAUAUUCGCCCGGUACUUGAAUAAUGCUGUGGCAGCUUGGAAUAGAGGACUGUUUUGCAGAGGGCUCGUCUCGGAGAUGUUCAGAUUUGUAUGUGCCGCUAGUUACUUGGAGUGGGGAGGACAGUACCUGGAUUACGGAAGUGGAUUACGGAAGUGCUCACACUGUUCUUGGACUGGAGUAUCUCAGCGAUCGCCGGAUGACACUGUGUAGAGAGGUUGGCUAAAAAGGCCGUGUGAGCGACAAAUUUCCACACUGGUUUCAGAAAGUAAAGUCCACCCAAUUUAUGCAGCUUCGGGAAGAGAAGAGAUCGACAACCAUAUUUAAAAUACUGUAGUCCAAUACUACAAUACUGUACCAUAUCUCACAAAUUUCUUUAAUUAACAAUUUUUUUUUUGAUAACCCACAUUUCCACAUUUCUUCACAUGUCCUCACUUUGACAUCCAGCGGUCAUGUGGCACUGCCCGGGUGUGGUGGUUACUUGGUUAGUUUUGGCUUUUGUACUGUACUGCCACUUUGAUGGGCUUGGCUGCGUGUGUGUAAGGCAUCCGUGUGUGGGUCACCUGCAGCUUAAAUGAAGAACAAGAAGAAGAACAUAGAAGGCAUUAUGAGGCACUGCAUGAGUAUACCAACAUUUUAAAUAACUUACCCCUAAGCAAUAGCGAUAGGAGUAUUGCAGAUAGACUCAAUUUUAUUAAGACUGAAAUACACAAUCUAGCAGUUGCUUCACCAUCAUGGGGUACAUUUACACCACCUUCUACGACGGUAAGCAGUUUUGUUCAGAAUCAUCCUUCACAUCUGGCGCCCGCAAUCUUGGAGUAUGUUCUACAAAAACUGAACAGUUACAUAAAUAAUGGUUUAUCCAUUACUGUCCACAAAUAUACGCUGCCCAGCACUCCAUAAACUAACUAAUCCGUUUACCUAUAAUUGAAUCCAGGACACCAUUGUUAAACACUCAGUACUUAUCCUUGAUAAUGUGUUAAUCCAAUUAAUAUAGUGAGAUAACCUAACGUUAGUUUAUCGAGGGCGGGUUGAGCUAAUGAAUCCCCAAGGUAGAGUUGGAACUUUAUGUUAAGACAUUUUGAGACUGUUGUCAUCAUUAAGCGCUGGGUCGGAGGAUAACAACGACCGAUUUCGAUUCAAGAUUCAAGAUUCACUUUAUUUUGUCUUAGGCCUACAUAAAAUGUGAAAGACCUAUUUGUUUUCCUGGGUACAAGAAUAUCAUAUAGGCCUCUAAACUUAAUUUAGGUCUGCUGCAUAGUACCGUAGACACUUUGUAAUCAAUAGAUGAAUAAUAACAGUGCUCCAAUAGGACCAUACUGUAUAUGAUAAUGUUAAGACACUUUGAGGCAGUUCUUGUCAUAAAGCGGUUAAGGUCACGGACGGUAUAUAUGACCUUAGACCUCUCUCUCACUCCAUAUAAAUACGUACCGUAUACAGAUCUAUAAACAUAUUCAUAUACAUAUGUAUAUAAUCACAUUUAAAGGCCUUUAAAGGAUUUUUUAAAAAGAUGACUAAUAGUGUAAAAUAUUUAAGGCCAAUAUAUUAAGCUAUAUUUAGGGCUAUAUAUAUUAUGUAUAUGAACAUAUUAUAUAUAUAUAGGCCUAUAUAAUAUAUAUAU